UACGAAGGGUGCAAGCGUUAAUCGGAAUUACUGGGCGUAAAGCGUGCGUAGGCGGUGAGUUAAGUCUGUCGUGAAAUCCCCGGGCUCAACCUGGGAAUGGCGAUGGAUACUGGCUCGCUAGAGUGUGAUAGAGGAUGGUGGAAUUCCCGGUGUAGCGGUGAAAUGCGUAGAGAUCGGGAGGAACAUCAGUGGCGAAGGCGGCCAUCUGGAUCAACACUGACACUGAGGCACGAAAGCGUGGGGAGCAAACAGG
RNAcentral lists this ribosomal RNA (253 nucleotides) under uncultured bacterium. RNAcentral's name for it is "partial 16S ribosomal RNA". It matches the Rfam family "Bacterial small subunit ribosomal RNA", at positions 524 to 776 of the family's 1533-position model. The record is from RNAcentral.